Long non-coding RNA from Drosophila ananassae, 781 nucleotides. RefSeq lists it as uncharacterized. The record is from RefSeq and is a predicted model, not a curated record. The transcript has 3 exons. Lineage: Eukaryota; Metazoa; Arthropoda; Insecta; Diptera; Drosophilidae.
AUGUUUGUUAACUUAGAGAUAAAGAUAAAUCAAUUUUUGAAGAAGAUGCCUUUAAAUUAUUUGAAACAAUGGUUUCCUUUCAUAGAAAAUAAGUUACCUUGAUUUAAUAAGCUUAAUUUAAAGCUUAUUAUUAUUAUAGGUGUACGUUCCAUGUAUUCUUGUUGUGGUUAUGUCAUGGGUCUCAUUUUGGAUACAUCGAGAAGCUACCAGCGACAGGGUCGGUCUUUGUGUUACAGCAGUAUUAACUCUUUCAACUAUUAGUUUAGACUCCCGGACGGAUUUACCAAAAGUAAAAUAUGCCACUGCCUUGGAUUGGUUUUUAUUAAUGAGCUUUCUAUACUGCAUUGCUACGCUAUUAGAAUUUGCUGGGGUACACUAUUUCACUAAAGUGGCUAACAGUGAAAUUCCACAAUGGGAGCAUAUUACUGCUUUAACUGAUAAUGGAUCUGAAAAAUUCAAACAUUAUAUUUAUGGUCCUGUGCUCAGGGAAUCUUCUUCAUGCUCUUUUAACAUGGAUUAUAUAGCCCAAAAACGACCCCCCGUUAUGUCGCGCAAAAAGCAAAUGUGGCUUUGCUUAAAAAACGAUGAUACUUUUCGUAAACUAAGAGCACGCCAUGCUGCUACUGAAAAUAGUCAAUGUCAAACUGCUAGAUAUGUCAAUAGUGUAUCUCUUAUUGAUCGUACUGCACGAAUAGCUUUUCCAACGUCUUUUGCAAUAUUUAACUUUUUAUACUGGCUUUCCUAUGGAAUGUACAAAAAAGAAUUUUCGUGGUCGACAAUA